GCCUGGGUAGCUCAGUCGGUUAAGUGUCUGACUUCAGCUCAGGUCAUGACCUCACAGUUCAUGGGUUCAAGCCCCGUGUUGGGCU
This 85-nucleotide transfer RNA is filed under the name Felis catus (domestic cat). It matches the Rfam family "tRNA". Rfam says of the family: Transfer RNA (tRNA) molecules are approximately 80 nucleotides in length. Their secondary structure includes four short double-helical elements and three loops (D, anti-codon, and T loops). Lineage: Eukaryota; Metazoa; Chordata; Mammalia; Carnivora; Felidae. The record is from Rfam by way of RNAcentral.